Molecule: transfer RNA, 73 nt
Filed under: Pseudocohnilembus persalinus
Lineage: Eukaryota; Ciliophora; Oligohymenophorea; Philasterida; Pseudocohnilembidae
Rfam family: tRNA
About the family: Transfer RNA (tRNA) molecules are approximately 80 nucleotides in length. Their secondary structure includes four short double-helical elements and three loops (D, anti-codon, and T loops). Further hydrogen bonds mediate the characteristic L-shaped molecular structure. tRNAs have two regions of fundamental functional importance: the anti-codon, which is responsible for specific mRNA codon recognition, and the 3' end, to which the tRNAs corresponding amino acid is attached (by aminoacyl-tRNA synthetases). tRNAs cope with the degeneracy of the genetic code in two manners: having more than one tRNA (with a specific anti-codon) for a particular amino acid; and 'wobble' base-pairing, i.e. permitting non-standard base-pairing at the 3rd anti-codon position.
Source: Rfam by way of RNAcentral
GCCUGUGUAGUAUAGUAGUUAUUAUGGUUCCCUCGUAAGGAAAUGGUCGGGAGUGCGAAUCUCCCCAUGGGCU